This 465-nucleotide ribosomal RNA is filed under the name Vreelandella stevensii. Its description in RNAcentral is "partial 16S ribosomal RNA". It matches the Rfam family "Bacterial small subunit ribosomal RNA", at positions 338 to 795 of the family's 1533-position model. Lineage: Bacteria; Pseudomonadati; Pseudomonadota; Gammaproteobacteria; Oceanospirillales; Halomonadaceae. The record is from RNAcentral.
CCUACGGGUGGCAGCAGUGGGGAAUAUUGGACAAUGGGGGGAACCCUGAUCCAGCCAUGUCGCGUGUGUGAAGAAGGCCCUCGGGUUGUAAAGCACUUUCAGUGAGGAAGAACGCCUGGUGGUUAAUACCCAUCAGGAAAGACAUCACUCACAGAAGAAGCACCGGCUAACUCCGUGCCAGCAGCCGCGGUAAUACGGAGGGUGCGAGCGUUAAUCGGAAUUACUGGGCGUAAAGCGCGCGUAGGUGGCUUGAUAAGCCGGUUGUGAAAGCCCCGGGCUCAACCUGGGAACGGCAUCCGGAACUGUCAAGCUAGAGUGCAGGAGAGGAAGGUAGAAUUCCCGGUGUAGCGGUGAAAUGCGUAGAGAUCGGGAGGAAUACCAGUGGCGAAGGCGGCCUUCUGGACUGACACUGACACUGAGGUGCGAAAGCGUGGGUAGCAAACAGGAUUAGAUACCCGGGUAGUC